AGAUGGCAUCGUCGACACAAUAACAAAUACGACAAUUUGAUAACAGACCGGCUAAGAAAAUGUCAGAAUCAAACAAGGAUCUCAAAGACUUUGAUUGGAAACUCAAGUUAGCAUUGGAGAGUAACAAAGUGAGCGCACUUAAUACGCCGAUCGUCGAAUUAACAUUACACACAAACAGUGACUCGUGUUCUGUGGAAAUGGACUCCCUUGGUCUCGACAACUUAAUUGGCAAGAUUAAAGAAGCCCUUUCGAAAACUACAAAUCAAGUCUCCAAUUGAUCUACUAUCACUGUUCUAAUAAAUCUAACAAGUCACCUAAUGAGUCUGUAUAAAAAUCUGGUA
Molecule: long non-coding RNA, 341 nt
Organism: Daphnia pulicaria
Lineage: Eukaryota; Metazoa; Arthropoda; Branchiopoda; Diplostraca; Daphniidae
Exons: 2
Source: RefSeq, a predicted model, not a curated record